RNAcentral lists this ribosomal RNA (253 nucleotides) under uncultured bacterium. Its description in RNAcentral is "partial 16S ribosomal RNA". It matches the Rfam family "Bacterial small subunit ribosomal RNA", at positions 524 to 776 of the family's 1533-position model. The record is from RNAcentral.
UACGAAGGGGGCUAGCGUUGUUCGGAAUCACUGGGCGUAAAGCGCACGUAGGCGGCUUUUUAAGUCAGGGGUGAAAUCCCAGAGCUCAACUCUGGAACUGCCUUUGAUACUGGGUAUCUUGAGUAUGGAAGAGGUAAGUGGAAUUGCGAGUGUAGAGGUGAAAUUCGUAGAUAUUCGCAGGAACACCAGUGGCGAAGGCGGCUUACUGGUCCAUAACUGACGCUGAGGUGCGAAAGCGUGGGGAGCAAACAGG